AUUGAACGCUGGCGGUAUGCUUAACACAUGCAAGUCGAACGGUAGCAGCUCUUCGGAGGCUGACGAGUGGCGGACGGGUGAGUAACGCGUAGGAAUCUGCCUAUUAGUGGGGGGACAACUUGUGGAAACGCAAGCUAAUACCGCAUACGCCCUACGGGGGAAAGGAGGGGAUCUUCGGACCUUUCGCUAAUAGAUGAGCCUGCGUUAGAUUAGCUAGUUGGUGGGGUAAGAGCCUACCAAGGCGACGAUCUAUAGCUGUUCUGAGAGGAAGAUCAGCCACACUGGGACUGAGACACGGCCCAGACUCCUACGGGAGGCAGCAGUGGGGAAUAUUGGACAAUGGGCGAAAGCCUGAUCCAGCAAUACCGCGUGUGUGAAGAAGGCCUUAGGGUUGUAAAGCACUUUCAAUUGGGAGGAAAAACAAGGGUUAAUACCCCUUGUCUUGACAUUACCUUUAGUAAGAAGACACCGGCUAACUCCGUAGCCAGCAGCCG
RNAcentral lists this ribosomal RNA (494 nucleotides) under uncultured bacterium. RNAcentral's name for it is "bacterial SSU rRNA". It matches the Rfam family "Bacterial small subunit ribosomal RNA", at positions 30 to 517 of the family's 1533-position model. The record is from RNAcentral.